AUACCCUAUUAUUUUUAGUGUAAAGUUUGUAAAACCAGAGUAAUAUUAGUUAAGAUCUUAAAACUUAAAGAAUUUGGCGGUAUUGUAGUCUAUUUAGAGGAAUCUGUUAUGUAAUCGAUAAUCCACGUUGAACCUUACUUAAGUUAUUUCUUGUAUAUCGCUGUUUAUGAAUAUAUUUGAUAAUAAUAUUCAAGAUAAGUAAAUAAUUAAAAUUUCAAGUCAAGGUGCAGUUUAUAUUUAAGUUAAAUAAUGGAUUACAAUAAGUUAAAUUUAAGCGGAAUAAUUUAUGAAAUAUAAUUAUGAAGAUGGA
This 310-nucleotide ribosomal RNA is filed under the name Amorphoscelis sp. MN337. RNAcentral describes it as "partial 12S ribosomal RNA". Lineage: Eukaryota; Metazoa; Arthropoda; Insecta; Mantodea; Hymenopodidae. The record is from RNAcentral.